ACCUAUUUGUUGCCUCGGCGGUGCCUGUUCCGACAGCCCGCCAGAGGACCCCAAACCCUGAUUACAUUUAAGAAGUCUUCUGAGUAAACCGAUUAAAUAAAUCAAAACUUUCAACAACGGAUCUCUUGGUUCUGGCAUCGAUGAAGAACGCAGCGAAAUGCGAUAAGUAAUGUGAAUUGCAGAAUUCAGUGAAUCAUCGAAUCUUUGAACGCACAUUGCGCCCGCUAGUAUUCUGGCGGGCAUGCCUGUCCGAGCGUCAUUUCAACCCUCAAGCCCCCGGGCUUGGUGUUGGGGAUCGGCGAGCCUCCGCGCCCGCCGUCCCCUAAAUCUAGUGGCGGUCUCGCUGUAGCUUCCUCUGCGUAGUAGCACACCUCGCACUGGGAAACAGCGCGGCCACGCCGUUAAACCCCCAACUUCUGAACGUUUGACCUCGGAUCAGGUAGGAAUACCCGCUGAACUUAAGCAUAUCAAUAAGCGGAGGA
Molecule: ribosomal RNA, 482 nt
Filed under: Cylindrocladiella lageniformis
Lineage: Eukaryota; Fungi; Ascomycota; Sordariomycetes; Hypocreales; Nectriaceae
Description: eukaryotic LSU rRNA
Rfam family: 5.8S ribosomal RNA (bases 106-259)
Source: RNAcentral